GACGAGCGCUGGCGGCGUGCUUAACACAUGCCAGUCGAACGGAAAGGCCCUGCUUUUGUGGGGUGCUCGAGUGGCGAACGGGUGAGUAACACGUGAGUAACCUGCCCUUGACUUUGGGAUAACUUCAGGAAACUGGGGCUAAUACCGGAUAGGAGCUCCUGCUGCAUGGUGGGGGUUGGAAAGUUUCGGCGGUUGGGGAUGGACUCGCGGCUUAUCAGCUUGUUGGUGGGGUAGUGGCUUACCAAGGCUUUGACGGGUGGCCGGCCUGAGAGGGUGACCGGCCACAUUGGGACUGAGAUACGGCCCAGACUCCUACGGGAGGCAGCAGUGGGGAAUAUUGCACAAUGGGCGGAAGCCUGAUGCAGCAACGCCGCGUGCGGGAUGACGGCCUUCGGGUUGUAAACCGCUUUCGCCUGUGACGAAGCGUGAGUGACGGUAAUGGGUAAAGAAGCACCGGCUAACUACGUG
Molecule: ribosomal RNA, 468 nt
Filed under: uncultured bacterium
Lineage: Bacteria
Description: partial 16S ribosomal RNA
Rfam family: Bacterial small subunit ribosomal RNA
Source: RNAcentral